Molecule: ribosomal RNA, 323 nt
Filed under: uncultured eukaryote
Lineage: Eukaryota
Description: partial 18S ribosomal RNA
Rfam family: Eukaryotic small subunit ribosomal RNA
Source: RNAcentral
CCCUUAGAUGUUCUGGGCUGCACGCGCGCUACACUGAUGCAUGCAACGAGUUCUAUCCUUGGCCGGAAGGCCUGGGUAAUCUGUGAACGUGCAUCGUGAUAGGGAUAGAUUAUUGCAAUUAUUAAUCUUGAACGAGGAAUUCCUAGUAAACGCAAGUCAUCAGCUUGCAUUGAUUACGUCCCUGCCCUUUGUACACACCGCCCGUCGCACCUACCGAUCGAAGGUAAUGAUGAGCCCUCAGGAUUGUGGCCUCGUCGCGUCAGCGUCUUGGCUGCGAGAAUCUGUGCAAAUCCCUACCUUUAGAGGAAGGUGAAGUCGUAACA